This 793-nucleotide ribosomal RNA is filed under the name uncultured bacterium. RNAcentral's name for it is "bacterial SSU rRNA". It matches the Rfam family "Bacterial small subunit ribosomal RNA", at positions 122 to 914 of the family's 1533-position model. The record is from RNAcentral.
CAACCUGCCCACCACUUGGGGAUAACCUUGCGAAAGUAAGACUAAUACCCAAUGAUAUCUCUAGAGGACAUCUGAAAGAGAUUAAAGAUUUAUCGGUGAUGGAUGGGGAUGCGUCUGAUUAGCUUGUUGGCGGGGUAACGGCCCACCAAGGCAACGAUCAGUAGGGGUUCUGAGAGGAAGGUCCCCCCACAUUGGAACUGAGACACGGUCCAAACUCCUACGGGAGGCAGCAGUGAGGAAUAUUGGUCAAUGGACGAGAGUCUGAACCAGCCAAGUAGCGUGCAGGAUGACGGCCCUAUGGGUUGUAAACUGCUUUUAUAAGGGAAUAAAGUGAGUCUCGUGAGACUUUUUGCAUGUACCUUAUGAAUAAGGACCGGCUAAUUCCGUGCCAGCAGCCGCGGUAAUACGGAAGGUCCGGGCGUUAUCCGGAUUUAUUGGGUUUAAAGGGAGCGUAGGCCGGAGAUUAAGCGUGUUGUGAAAUGUAGACGCUCAACGUCUGCACUGCAGCGCGAACUGGUUUCCUUGAGUACGCACAAAGUGGGCGAAAUUCGUGGUGUAGCGGUGAAAUGCUUAGAUAUCACGAAGAACUCCGAUUGCGAAGGCAGCUCACUGGAGCGCAACUGACGCUGAAGCUCGAAAGUGCGGGUAUCGAACAGGAUUAGAUACCCUGGUAGUCCGCACGGUAAACGAUGGGAUGCCCGCUGUUGGUCUGAAUAGGUCAGCGGCCAAGCGAAAGCAUUAAGCAUCCCACCUGGGGAGUACGCCGGCAACGGUGAAACUCUAAUGAAUGGAC